CAGGAAUGCUGUAAAGUACUUUAUCUGUGUUCUUAUCUGUCCUUCACAGCAGCCUUGCUAAGUGGUAUUGUAAUUUUCAAAGAAUAGUCUUCUAAAUUGGAAAGUUCCUUCAUCAGCCAAGUUUAAGUUUCCACAUGGAGUCAUAGGGGCAAAAGAGAUGCUCAGAUCUGGCAAUGUCACCCUAAGACUACACCAAGCC
RNAcentral lists this long non-coding RNA (199 nucleotides) under Mustela putorius furo (domestic ferret). RNAcentral describes it as "lncRNA (ENSMPUG00000030650.1)". Lineage: Eukaryota; Metazoa; Chordata; Mammalia; Carnivora; Mustelidae. The record is from RNAcentral.